CCUAACGGGAAGCAGCAGUGAGGAAUAUUGGUCAAUGGGCGGGAGCCUGAACCAGCCAAGCCGCGUGAGGGAAGAAGGUACAGCGUAUCGUAAACCUCUAUUGUCAGGGAACAAAGGCGGGGACUAGUCCCCGGAUGAGGGUACCUGAAGCAAAAGCAUCGGCUAACUCCGUGCUAGCAGCCGCGGUAAUUCGGAGGAUGCGAGUGUUGUCCGGAUUUAGUGGGUUAAAAGGGUGCGCAGGCGGCCUGUUAAGUCAGCGGUAAAAGCCCGGGGCUCAACCCCGGCGAGCCGUUGAAACUGGCGGGCUGGAGUUGGAGAGAAGUACGCGGAAUGCGCGGUGUAGCGGUGAAAUGCUUAGAUAUCGCGCAGAACCCCGAUUGCGAAGGCAGCGUACCGGCUCCACACUGACGCUGAGGCACGAAAGCGUGGGUAUCGAACAGGAUUAGAUACCCGAGUAGUC
RNAcentral lists this ribosomal RNA (460 nucleotides) under uncultured bacterium. RNAcentral describes it as "partial 16S ribosomal RNA". It matches the Rfam family "Bacterial small subunit ribosomal RNA", at positions 338 to 795 of the family's 1533-position model. The record is from RNAcentral.